AGCAAUACUUCCAGAUCUCCAUAUAACCUCUGUUCAUUUGGGAGGGGCUUUGUAUUUUCAACAGGAGAGUUCAAAGUUCAUUUUUUUUUCAGCAACUACAGUUCUAAGUUAAAUCUAUUUUUAUUGAUACAUGAUAUUUUACAUGUUUAUGGGAUACAUAUGAGUCAUAAUCUAUUUUAAAUAAUAUCUUAGUGUUGUAAAAUCAACAGUGCUUUUUAAAAGAAAUAUACCUUGUUAAUUAUCCCACAUGUGUCAUCAGAAGUACAGCUUGAACAAGUCCACCUUCCGUGGACCAAGCACCACCCUGGGCAUUUCUAGCAUGAGCAAAAUCCAAGGUCCUGGCUGGACUCCAGAGAUGCUAUUUACCUCAGAAGCAUGACAAUAGGAGGCAGAAGGAGCAGGCAAAUCCAACUCCUUUCUUGUAGUUUCCUUGUUUGGGGAGGAAAAGUUGAGUUUUACUAUUAUGGAAAAGAAACAGGAAAUAGAGACCGACAAAGAGAUAUGACAAUACAGUCCUGCCACCCAGAUACUCGUUUCCUCCUACCAUUCCAUGCAUUUGUUUUGAAUAUAUAAGUAUGUACAUAAAGGUAGGUACUCUCAAGUCCAUCAGGGCUUGGAUGUCCACUGUUUUUGAAGUUCCAGAAUGUUUUUGCUAAGUUGAGGAAAUACCAAAACAGGACUAUGAAAAUUAUGGUAUAUAUUGAUGUGUCACAGAACACAGAUGUGACAUAAUAAAGAUGUGUAAGAUUAUAUAUAUAACUUGUGUGUACACCUACCUCAUCUGGGGAUAACACCUCAAGUUUAAUUUUGAGGCUUGGGUCAAUCGUGCUUCCCUUCCCUUUCAUAGGUCCUCUAUGAGAUAUUGUCAUAGAUUCCAUGUUAUGCAAUAGCCAUAGAAUAUGACCUCUCUCUAUGAUAAUUCUAUAUUACUUUAAUUGCUGCACAGAAGUUCAUUGUAUGUAAGUGCCACAGUAUAUUAUAGAUCUUCUUGUGGGACAUCUAUUUCUAGUUUAUGUGAUAGUAUAGCACUCUCACGAAUGUUCUUGUACUUGAUCUUUACACAUUUUCUUUUUUCCUUAGGAUGAAUUCUGAGAGAUGUAAUUGAUGGGGCAAAAUGUACUCACUGUUUGAGGUUUGAAAUUUUUCCAUCAAAAGCUGGUACUCUUGGUUUUUUAAGACAAAGAGCAAAUCCUCCCCUGCCAGGAUUGACUUUUGGCUCUUUUUUUUUCAAACCUCACUGCUUUUUGGUUUAGUUGUCAUAAAAUGCCAAGCACCAUGAACAGGGCUCCAUGAAGGGGCUCAGAGGUAGGAGGGCUGUGAUUAGGAGAAGGCUUGGCCUGAUGGGCAAUUUGAGUGCUCAGAAUUAGAGUGAGGGGGUGGGGGUGCUGCAGGGACAGAUGCUGGGGAAAGACAUCCUGAAGGGCAAAGGGAGCAACAAUGGCUGCAGUACAUGUGGCCAUUCAGCUAGUGCAGAGGAUGGAAACCAGAGUGGGCUGAUGAUUGGAUGCCAGGCCUGAGCCAGGUGAGUCCUGUUCUCAUUAUACUGUAAAGUGAGCUGCUCCAAGCCUCCCUGAUUCUUAGCACUCCCAGUCCCUGCAGGGGUCCCUGAGAAGGUUAAUCUUGCUUGCAUUAGGCCCUCUGCUGUUUUCCCUCUGUAAGCCUUACUCCACUUUGCAGUGAGUUCUAGUAUAACUUCUAUUCCAGCAAGAUAAAAUGGUUAAGGACUCCAGAAAAGAAAUUUGGUGAACACAAAGGGUUUGUCAUACUUUAACUUUUGUCCCUUUCCCAGGUGGCCCAUGCUUCUAGGCCAGCCUCCCAAUUCCUAGCUUGCUUCAUGCUCCUGGCCUUUGCCUACUCAAAACAAUCUGUCCUCCCCACCCUGUCAUCUCUGUUCAGAGUAAAUACCUCCCUCCCUCUGCUUUUGCCCUAAGUUCUUUUUUUCAACUCACCUAACAUCUAACUUGGCUUUGCAGCUCUGUUUCUCCAAAACCCUCUCUGCCUGUUUCCUCCCAAGCUAUCUAUGACCAGUGCCAGAAACCAGAAAAUCUUCUUGGAAGCUGCACUCUUUGCUUCUCUUCCCUCUCCUUUAUCCUUGCACUUGGAAUCUCUCUCCUUCUACCUGUCUCUAUCUGCUGCAAUCCUGUUCAUCUUUCCAGGUACAUUCCUCACUUUUUCAUCUUUAAGAAGUCCUCUCAGAAACCGCAUAGGAUUUUUUCAUGAUAUAUGCCAUAUUCCACUGUGUAUGUAGAUUACACCACAGGGUUUUUAAUUUCCUAAAGGCAAGAGCUAUAACCUAGUCAUCUUCCUCUCCUAAGUGGGGAGUAUCACCAUGACUUGACCAAGUAGCUAUGAUAUGGGUGCUAUCUCCAUAAAUGAAUGAGCCGUGAGGAAAAAGGAGAUGAUUAUGAGUGAAUGAAGAAUCUUAAUAAGGAAAGUUUAUUCCACAGUGAAGCAGUGUUGGUGGCUCCAAAACCUCUCUUUAGGAAGGAUUUAGGACAGCAUCCUAAUCAAAAGGGCCUGGAAGCACUUUAUAAAAGAGAGAGACAAGAUCGCAUGUCAAACUAGAAGGAUGGAGGUGAGAGGAGAUAGGGCUCCAGAGUGGAGCAAGCCCCUUCUGUCCCCUUGAACUUCCUGCCGGUGCAUGGGUUACCUCUCAUUAAAUUUAAUAGUACUUGUUGCUUUGGUGUAGUGAAAUGAAUGCCUUGAUGAAAUUGCAUUGCACCAUUUUUGAAAGAGAGAAUACUCAAACGUGUCACUUCUGUUUCUUGCAAGCAACUGUGAUCCUGAGCUGUGCACACUUCUGGUUGGGAUUAUUUCUGGUUUCUACUUCCUGUUUGAAGAUGUGGCAUGGAGAGUGUAAGUUGAAGAGAUGAGUGCGGGGCUCAUCUAUCCCUGGAAUUGUCUUUCCCACAAUCCCUGACACAGAAUAUGAGCCAUACAAGAAUUCUGAAGAAAUGGGUCUCUUGCCACCUCCCAGUAAAAGAUUAUUUUUGAAAAAAAAAAGGCUCUGCUUUGACCUGAAGUAUUUUAUGUAUCCUCAGUCUCAGGACACUGUUGAUGGAAUUAAGGCCAAGCACAUCUGCAAAAAAGACAUUGCUGGAGGAGGUGCAAAGAGCUGGAAACCAAGUCUCCAGUCCUGGGAAAAGCAGUGGUAUGGAAAAGCAAUGGAAAGAGCAUUUUGAAAAUGCCAUUCCACUGUUUUCUGGCCUUUAUGAUUUCUGCUGAGAAAUCCACUGUUAGUCUGAUGGGGUCUCCUUCAUAGCUGUCUGGGAACACUCUGAAAGCCCUGAGCUGCCACAUAAGAAGUCUGGCUACCUUGAGACUGUGAUGCUAGAGAGGCCAUGUGUAGAUACUCCAGUUGAAGCUCCCAGCUGAGCCCAACCUUCUCCAUCAAAGUGCCGGACAUGUGGUGGAUUAGAUUGGGGAACCUCCCCAGGACCCUGGAUCCUGCACUUUGUCCUAAGGAAGGGGUGAUACUGGAUGGAGCUGAAUUACACUGAGAUUCCCCCAGUGCACCAAUGACCUGAAGAGCCUUGUUGAAGGAAGACUCCAUCUGAUGACUCAGAGCAAGAGCUGUUAUCACUGCAGAACCAAGGUCACCUGUGGAAGCUCCUUGCUGAAGCCAGUUUUCUAUCAGAUCAUCCAUCAGGCCUAGCAGGGGGCAGGCAUUGUGCUGACUGUGGAAGAUCACAGAGAGUGUGUCAGAGUGAAAUUGACUUUGAAACUGUCUUUGUCCCUUUUGUACAGACCACACAACUGGUGCCAAUGGCGUCGCUGCCUGACUUUAAACUGUCCUGCCACUAGGAACCCUCACUGUCCAGCUCCAUAGUGCAACAAGAAGGAGGUGAGGUUUUGGCAUCUUCAGGGAGUAUCCUCAGUCUUCCUAUGUUUUGGAAUGAGUUCCAUUUGGCUGCAAAAAGAGGAGCUUCUGGGAUGAUAAAAUGAGGCAUAUCCUGCACCACUACAUGUGUCCAUACAUGAUCUGAGCAGGAAGAGCAGUGGACAAGGAGUCUGGAAUGCUGGCUCAAGUUCUGAGUCAGCCACAGCCUGCUGUGUGACUCUGAGUGAGUCACUGAGCUUCCCUGGAUUCAGUUUCCUCAACAGUCAAAUUUCUAUGGCCUUUUGGGCACCACCAUGCAUGAGAACACAAAGAGAGCAUGAUUACUCAGGGGUGUGUGCAUGUGUGAGAAAAGAAGCUGGAAAUGGAUCCUCUCUUUUAUAAAAAUAUUCCACAAUGACCAAUGUGAAGCAGCAUUAUCGAGAGCAUGCAUUCUCAGCAGGGGCGACUUACUCCUAAGGACCAACAACUGCUCCUUGAGGAUGGGGCAAAAAAAAUAUCAAAUACUCAAUGGCCCAUCAAUGAGAGAGACAACAUUUAGAUAGGAGUACUGGACAUUUGAAAAUUCUUACACCCUGUGAUGUGACAUGGAGAAGUGAUCAACACAACUUUGCCAACUAUACUCCAUUCUUAGUAACUGCCGAUUAGGAAGGAUUUCUUUCUAAGUCUGUCACUAAUUCAACUGUUAUUCACAAGAGAAGUAGAGGCAAAUGA
Long non-coding RNA from Pan troglodytes (chimpanzee), 4552 nucleotides. RefSeq lists it as uncharacterized. The transcript is spliced from 12 exons. NCBI's taxonomy places the organism in Eukaryota, Metazoa, Chordata, Mammalia, Primates, Hominidae. The record is from RefSeq and is a predicted model, not a curated record.